Molecule: long non-coding RNA, 1202 nt
Filed under: Equus caballus (horse)
Lineage: Eukaryota; Metazoa; Chordata; Mammalia; Perissodactyla; Equidae
Description: lncRNA (ENSECAG00000051214.1)
Source: RNAcentral
UAUUAAUGCAUAAUGUCAUUUCUGGAACUCUUCCAACAGUUAUGGGUCACAAUGACAAUAUGCCACUCCAUUGGCUGAGCACUUGUUUGCAACAAUGAGCUACACAUGUUGGCCAAUACUGCCACAAUUUAACGCUUCUGUUCCUCUUGGCACAUCUGAAUGGGUGGCAUCUGGUCCAAAUUUUGGGUCCCUUUGAGGAUGCGUGAUAGGUAACUCUCAUCUGGAUAGCAGAGACACUUGACCAGCCAAUUACGUAUUCUGGAAUCCAGGAAGUUUAUGUAGGGAGCUUAAACGGAAGAUGCGUCUGAGAAACUCCCAUCAAGAGCACAUCCCAGCUUUUCAACGAUUGUAUAAGCCAGCGUUUGUUAAGUGCUUCCUCUGUCCCAGGAACUCUUUCAAGUGUUUUACGUGUAGUAACUCUUUUCAUAUAUGACCAUCUUAUGAAAUGGGAUCCCAUGGUAACGACCAGAGGGUACAGGAGAGUGAAAUGUUGACACUGGAUUGGAAAGUUUGCUGAGUAAGGCCUGGUAUCAAAAGAAAGCCAGAAUCGGAAAACCUCCAUCAGCUCACUCAGUCUCCUCUUAGCGUUCAAUCCCCUGACUGCAGGAGAUGCACUAGACCCUUUCAAUGAAGUCAUGGAAUCUUUGACAGAUUUUUCCAACCACUCUGUCAUUUCCUUCAGCAACAAGAUGAUUCUCAAAGCUGAAGCGCCAGAGUUCUGGGCUGACACCUAGCUCAAAAUAGAUACGGGGCAUGUCAAUUAACACAGAUGAAGAAAUGGAAGGAUCAACUAUUAAUCAAUUUCAAAAAAAAGAUCAUAUAUAGUUGUGAUGGGCUGAAUGUUUGUGUGCCUCCAAAUUUCAUAUGUUGAAGCCUUAACCUUCAGUGUGAUGGUGUUUGGAAGUGGGGCCUUUGGGAGUUAAUAAGGUUUAGAUGAGGUCACGAGGGUGGGGACCCUACAAUGGGAUUAGAGUCCUUAUAAGAACAUGAAGAAACCACAGCUCUCUCUCUCUCUCCACCAUGUGAGGAUACAGCUGGAAGGGGGUUGUCUGCAAGCCGGGAAGAGGGUUCUCACCAAACUUAACCGUACCGGCCCCCUGAUCCUUCCAGUCUCUAGAACUCUGAGAAAUAAAUGUCUGUUUUUUAAUCCACCCAGUCUACGGUAUUUUAGUAUAGCAGAUCAAGCAAAGACAAUAGUAUAA